AGAGUUUGAUCCUGGCUCAGGAUGAACGCUGGCGGCGUGCCUAACACAUGCAAGUCGAGCGAAGCGGUUUUAAGGAAGUUUUCGGAUGGAAUUAAGACUGACUGAGCGGCGGACGGGUGAGUAACGCGUGGGUAACCUGCCUCAUACAGGGGGAUAACAGUUAGAAAUGGCUGCUAAUACCGCAUAAGCGCACAGCUUCGCAUGGAGCAGUGUGAAAAACUCCGGUGGUAUGAGAUGGACCCGCGUCUGAUUAGCUGGUUGGUAAGGUAACGGCUUACCAAGGCGACGAUCAGUAGCCGACCUGAGAGGGUGACCGGCCACAUUGGGACUGAGACACGGCCCAAACUCCUACGGGAGGCAGCAGUGGGGGAUAUUGCACAAUGGGGGAAACCCUGAUGCAGCGACGCCGCGUGAGUGAAGAAGUAUCUCGGUAUGUAAAGCUCUAUCAGCAGGGAAGAAAAUGACGGUACCUGACUAAGAAGCCCCGGCUAACUACGUGCCAGCAGCCGCGGU
This 513-nucleotide ribosomal RNA is filed under the name uncultured Gram-positive bacterium. RNAcentral describes it as "bacterial SSU rRNA". It matches the Rfam family "Bacterial small subunit ribosomal RNA", at positions 8 to 521 of the family's 1533-position model. The record is from RNAcentral.